Molecule: ribosomal RNA, 482 nt
Filed under: uncultured bacterium
Lineage: Bacteria
Description: partial 16S ribosomal RNA
Rfam family: Bacterial small subunit ribosomal RNA
Source: RNAcentral
GACGAACGCUGGCGGCGUGCUUAACACAUGCAAGUCGAACGGUAAGGCCCCUUCGGGGGUACACGAGUGGCGAACGGGUGAGUAACACGUGAGCAACCUGCCCUUGACUCUGGGAUAACAGUUGGAAACAGCUGCUAUACCGGAUACGACCUUCGAUGACAUCAUCUGGAGGUGGAAAGCGCUUUAGCGGUCAAGGAUGGGCUCGCGGCCUAUCAGCUUGUUGGUGAGGUAACGGCUCACCAAGGCUUCGACGGGUAGCCGGCCUGAGAGGGCGACCGGCCGCACUGGGACUGGGAUACGGCCCAGACUCCUACGGGAGGCAGCAGUGGGGAAUAUUGCACAAUGGGCGCAAGCCUGAUGCAGCAACGCCGCGUGCGGGAUGACGGCCUUCGGGUUGUAAACCGCUUUCAGUUCCGACGAAGCGCAAGUGACGGUAGGAACAGAAGAAGGACCGGCCAACUACGUGCCAGCCGCCGCGGUAA